CCUACGGGAGGCAGCAGUGAGGAAUAUUGGUCAAUGGACGCAAGUCUGAACCAGCCAUGCCGCGUGCAGGAUGACGGCUCUAUGAGUUGUAAACUUCUUUUGUACGAGGAUAAACGCAGAUACGCGUAUCUGUCUGAAAGUAUCUUAUGAAUAAGGAUCGGCUAACUCCGUGCCAGCAGCCGCGGUAAUACGGAGGAUUCGAGCGUUAUCCGGAUUUAUUGGGUUUAAAGGGGGCGCAGACGGUCUGUUUAGUCAGCUGUGAAAGCUCGGGGCUCAACCCCGGCACUGCGGUUGAAACUGGCAGUCUCGAGUUGGAUAGAAGUAUGCGGAAUGCGCGGUGUAGCGGUGAAAUGCAUAGAUAUCGCGCAGAACUCCGAUUGCGAAGGCAGCAUGCCGGCUCGACACUGACGCUGAGGCACGAAAGCGUGGGUAUCGAACAGGAUUAGAGACCCGAGUAGUC
This 460-nucleotide ribosomal RNA is filed under the name uncultured bacterium. RNAcentral's name for it is "partial 16S ribosomal RNA". It matches the Rfam family "Bacterial small subunit ribosomal RNA", at positions 338 to 795 of the family's 1533-position model. The record is from RNAcentral.